CACGUAGGGCGCAAGCGUUGUCCGGAAUUAUUGGGCGUAAAGAGCUCGUAGGCGGUUUGUCGCGUCGGCUGUGAAAACUCGGGGCUCAACCCCGAGCCUGCAGUCGAUACGGGCAGACUAGAGUGCUGUAGGGGAGACUGGAAUUCCUGGUGUAGCGGUGAAAUGCGUAGAUAUCGGGAGGAACACCAGUGGCGAAGGCGACUACCUGGCCUGUUCUUGACGCUGAGGCGCGAAAGCUAGGGGAGCAAACGGG
Molecule: ribosomal RNA, 253 nt
Filed under: uncultured bacterium
Lineage: Bacteria
Description: partial 16S ribosomal RNA
Rfam family: Bacterial small subunit ribosomal RNA
Source: RNAcentral